CAGUAGCCGCGGUAAUACGGAGGGUGCAAGCGUUAAUCGGAAUUACUGGGCGUAAAGCGUGCGUAGGCGGCUAAUUGAGUCGGAUGUGAAAUCCCCGAGCUUAACUUGGGAAUUGCAUUCGAUACUGGUUAGCUAGAGUGUGGGAGAGGAUGGUAGAAUUCCAGGUGUAGCGGUGAAAUGCGUAGAGAUCUGGAGGAAUACCGAUGGCGAAGGCAGCCAUCUGGCCUAACACUGACGCUGAGGUACGAAAGCAUGGGGAGCAAACAGGAUUAGAUACCCCCGUAGUCCCUGUCUCUUAUAC
Molecule: ribosomal RNA, 301 nt
Filed under: uncultured bacterium
Lineage: Bacteria
Description: partial 16S ribosomal RNA
Rfam family: Bacterial small subunit ribosomal RNA
Source: RNAcentral